This 460-nucleotide ribosomal RNA is filed under the name uncultured bacterium. RNAcentral's name for it is "partial 16S ribosomal RNA". It matches the Rfam family "Bacterial small subunit ribosomal RNA", at positions 338 to 795 of the family's 1533-position model. The record is from RNAcentral.
CCUACGGGAGGCAGCAGUGAGGAAUAUUGGUCAAUGGGCGCGAGCCUGAACCAGCCAAGUAGCGUGAAGGAUGACUGCCCUACGGGUUGUAAACUUCUUUUAUAAAGGAAUAAAGUGAGGCACUUGUGCCUUUUUGUAUGUACUUUAUGAAUAAGGAUCGGCUAACUCCGUGCCAGCAGCCGCGGUAAUACGGAGGAUCCGAGCGUUAUCCGGAUUUAUUGGGUUUAAAGGGAGCGUAGAUGGGUUGUUAAGUCAGUUGUGAAAGUUUGCGGCUCAACCGUAAGAUUGCAAUUGAUACUGGCUGUCUUGAGUACAGUUGAGGUAGGCGGAAUUCGUGGUGUAGCGGUGAAAUGCUUAGAUAUCACGAAGAACUCCGAUUGCGAAGGCAGCUUACUAAACUGCCACUGACAUUGAUGCUCGAAAGUGUGGGUAUCAAACAGGAUUAGAUACCCUAGUAGUC